UAGGGAAUCUUCCGCAAUGGGCGAAAGCCUGACGGAGCAACGCCGCGUGAGUGAUGAAGGUCUUCGGAUCGUAAAACUCUGUUAUUAGGGAAGAACAAAUGUGUAAGUAACUAUGCACGUCUUGACGGUACCUAAUCAGAAAGCCACGGCUAACUACGUGCCAGCAGCCGCGGUAAUACGUAGGUGGCAAGCGUUAUCCGGAAUUAUUGGGCGUAAAGCGCGCGUAGGCGGUUUUUUAAGUCUGAUGUGAAAGCCCACGGCUCAACCGUGGAGGGUCAUUGGAAACUGGAAAACUUGAGUGCAGAAGAGGAAAGUGGAAUUCCAUGUGUAGCGGUGAAAUGCGCAGAGCUAUGGAGGAACACCAGUGGCGAAGGCGACUUUCUGGUCUGUAACUGACGCUGAUGUGCGAAAGCGUGGGGAUCAAACAGG
This 429-nucleotide ribosomal RNA is filed under the name Actinomycetes bacterium. RNAcentral's name for it is "Actinobacteria bacterium partial 16S ribosomal RNA". It matches the Rfam family "Bacterial small subunit ribosomal RNA", at positions 355 to 776 of the family's 1533-position model. The record is from RNAcentral. Lineage: Bacteria; Bacillati; Actinomycetota; Actinomycetes.